ACUCUUUUCUGGGGGAAGAGGCCAGGCUGGGACGGGGUCAGGUGCUGGGAGCCUUCAGCCCUCGCCCGGCUGCCCGGGCAGAAGCCCUAUGCGUCCUGGAGCAGAAGGGCGGUUUCAGGGUCGGACAGACAGGCAGGAGGACAGCCUUGGGAACCCAGGGUGGCAUGGGGAGGCCUGGGAGGGUGAAAUGGUUAAUGGCUUGUUGAAAAACAAGGAGAGUCCCUCCUCCAGGGGCCCAGCUGGCUGCAAAGUCAGGAACAGAGGCUCCAGGGGUGAUGCAAUGGGACCCACCCUGAGCACCAGAGAGGGUGAGGAGGCGGCUCCGCCCAGCAGCCACUGCACAGCCAGCGGCGGACCACUCGCCUCCAACCCCCACGCCAGACGCAGGGCAGGGACUUUGGGGCAAAGUGGGCAAAACUGGCCACCCCAGACUCGGAAAGUUGCCGCUUCUGCCUGUCCCACCCCAUGUGGCCCUGGUGGCUUUGCAGUCCACAGGGUGCCUCAUCAGCGCAGCCAACCCCCACCUCUCCACUUCCAGGACCCUUUCCAGCCCCGGGCAGAUGGCAGGCAGGGGAGGAGAGGCUGGGCCUGUGAGAGGCAGACGGGUCUUGCCGCACCUGAUCCCGGCACCUGGCACCUCCACUCUCCAUUGUCUCGGCACAGGGUACCUGCCGGGAUCACAGUGUCCCAGACACUUGCAAAGGACUCAGGGCCGUCCCAAGGGUGCACAGGCUGAUCCGAACUCGAGAUGGGUGGUGUCCCCACCUCGGGGCCUGGCACAGUCUCAGGGGCCGGGAGAGGGUGCCAUGUAUUUCUGAGCAGGACUUUGCAGGGUGGGGGCCCAGGAGGGAGGAGGGAGAGCCCCUCUCUGAGAAGGCGUGAGGGGGCCCAGGUUUUGUGACAAAGUCCUGCCCCCGACUCGAAGCCGCACGAGGACAGGAGCGGUGUCUCUCUUGUUGACCGCAGGCUCCCUGGCGCCCAGCACGGCUCCUGGCAAGAAGCCUGCGCUGAAUAAGUCACCGACCGCAGAGAGCGGGCGGGCUGAAGUCCAAGUCGGUUUUCCAAUUCCUGCAGUCCGCUGUUGGCCAGCCCCUCCACCCGCACACCCACACUCACUCACCCACACACUCACAGGCACAGGAAAACACGCAAUGGAGCACAGAGUCAUCAGAAGAUUGCCUCGAAUGGUUGUUUACAGUUACUGGAUGCCUCUCAGCCUUCCCUUGCUCGGGCUGCAGCGGGUACAUCAGGAUUUCUGGUGCAAACCAUCAAAAAGCAUGCGGGAUGCUCGAGGGGCUGCUGGACGCGAAGGGGCUGCUGGACGUGAAGUCGCCAGACGGGGCUAGGCCGGGGCCAGCUCAUGCAAGGUGGGCAAUUGCAGCCUCCUUUCCAAGGCAGGACUAUCCCAGAUUCUUUCACAUCUUAGGAACCGACGUUCGCACAACACCUGCGACUUGUGCAAAGCUCCUUUCUGUUCAUGAUCGUGUUGGAUGGGUCAUCACCAGCCCCAGAGGGAAAGCCGUCACCCUGUUCUGCAGGGGGGGGGCACAGGCCCAGAGUGGUCCCGGCUUCCAGCGGCCAAGACCUGCGCUCUUUCCCUGAGAGCCAUUCCCCUCUGACUCCCACCCCGACACACACUCUGUUCACAUCGCACUAAGUUGGAAACAACCAAAGAAAACAGUUAAGCAAACUCGCACGGCAACGCGAGCGAACACGCGGGACAAGCUGACGGCUGGCAGGUAAGGGACCUCGCUCGGUGUGGGAUGCUGUGUUUUGAAAUAUUGUGAUUUGAUUAAAGCAGAACACGAACCACAUGCUCAUCACAGGUGUGCCAAAGUGCGCGCCUGCAAGCUGGUAAGAGCCAGAAGUGCGCUGAGAGACGUAAAGAGAUUGUUAUCUACGUGGGGCUUUCUUUUCCUAUAAAGAUUAAGCUCAAAACAACCAGAAGCUGCAAAAUAAAUAAAUGUGAUCAUAAUAAGCAGAGGAGGAGGAGUCUGUCUCGGUCCCCAGAGGACCACCCAUCUUCUGGAAAGGGCUGGAGUUGCAGGGCGCAGACGGGAGGGCGGGAGCCUGGAAGUGGGGAGUCGGGGAGCUGUGGGAAGGAGGAGGCAGGCCCACCCAGGGGAGCAGCGCCCAGAGCCGCAGAGGUGCAGCUGGGAGCAUCGCCCCGGGGAGCCCCUGGGGGCCUGGGGGCCAGACGAGCAAUGUGGAUGGUGCCUCCCGGAGCUGUGCAUCCUGGUGGUUCUGGGACACCUUGCAUCUCAGAGGACCAACGCGGGACCCGCCUACAGGAGGGGGCGGCCUGCAGAGAGAGCACCGCCUUGCUCUGGGGGAUGCCAGCCUGCAGGGAGCAGGCGGGUGUGAAAGGCGCCAACCGAGGCUCCCCUGGGACCCAGGGACAGUGCACUUCACAGACAGACCACACUCAAGGCGUCUCCGCUGACUCUUUAUCUCCGCGGCCCUCCACCCUGCCCUGCUCCCCUCCUGUGCUCCCCGUCCUGGUGGCUGGCACCACCACUCACCACGGCUUCCCAGGCUGCGGGCCCUGGCCCUGCCUCCGCCUCCGGCUCUCGCUCCGCCCUGCUUUGCACCCUGUGCCGCACCCCCACUGAGACAUUCACAGUUCCUGGAAGAUGCCAAGCUGUGUUGCUGCCCUGCCUUUUCCCAUGCUCUUCCUUCCGCCCAGAAUCCGUCUCUAUCUUGUCCGGCUGCUUAUCUGUCAAGAGUCAGCUUAAGCAGCGUCACCCUCCGUGAACCCUUUCUGCUCAUCCCUUCCUCCCCACCCCGCCCACCCCCCCUGCCCUCUGUGCCCAGGCAGACAGACAGCACCACCUCACUGGUCUCCGCAGCCCCAUAUCCAGCACUGCUCCUGCACAGCCUCAGCAUCUGAUACAUAUUUUAUGAAGUAAACAAACAAACAAACAACAACAACAACAAAACGAAUGUGGCCCAGCCGGCAUGGCUCAGUGAUUGAGCAUCGACCUAUGAACCAGGAGGUCAAGGUCCGAUUCCUGGUCAGGGCGCAUGCCUGGGUUGUGGGUUCCAUCCCCAGUGUGGGACAUGCAGCAGGCAGCAGAUCAAUGAUUCUCAUCAUUGAUGGUUCUCUCUCUCCCUCUCCCUUCCUCUCUGAAUCAAUAAUCCUAUAUAAUAAAAGCCUAAUAUGCUAAGUGUCUGUUGGCAGGUCAGCCAUUCAACCAAUCAAAGUAUACUAUGCUAAUGAUAUGCUAAGGCCACUCAACUACUCACUAUGACGGGCACUGACCACUAGGGGGCAGACAGUCAACCGGUAAGUUAGCUUGCUGCUGGGGUCUGGCCCAUUGGGACUGAGUGAGAUGGGCUGGACGCACCCUGGAGCCCUCUGUGGUCCCUCCCGUGGUCUCUCCCCAGCUGGCCAACCUCCUGUGUCCCUCCCCUGCCCCAGUUGUGCACCGGCGGGGUCCCUUGGCCUGGCCUGUGCCCGCUCACAAUCCGGG
Long non-coding RNA from Myotis daubentonii (Daubenton's bat), 3473 nucleotides. RefSeq lists it as uncharacterized. The record is from RefSeq and is a predicted model, not a curated record. Lineage: Eukaryota; Metazoa; Chordata; Mammalia; Chiroptera; Vespertilionidae.